RNAcentral lists this long non-coding RNA (1376 nucleotides) under Capra hircus (goat). Its description in RNAcentral is "lncRNA (ENSCHIG00010000058.1)". Lineage: Eukaryota; Metazoa; Chordata; Mammalia; Artiodactyla; Bovidae. The record is from RNAcentral.
UAUGUUUAUCACAGCUGGUUGUAAACAGUAGAAUCUGAUGAAACCUGAUGAAGGACAGCGAACUUUGAAGGACUCCAGGAAUCAGGUACCCACAGGACUGAAAUGAAGACCCUUUGCUAACCAAAGAGCAUUUAUACUGACAAAUCCUGGAGUGGGUUGCCAUUUCCUUCUCCAGGGCAUCUUCCUGACCCAGGGAUUGAAUCCAGGUCUUCCGCAUUGCAGGCGGACACUUUACCAUUUGAGCCAUUGGGUAAGCCCUGAGUAUGUAUAUACAUCAUUAAAUUACACAUAAAUGGGAACUUGAAGGGUAACUUCAGAUUUUUAAAUUUAUUCUUGAGUCAAUCCUGUGAAGUAUGUACUAAAAUUUCCAUUUUACAGAGGAGAAAACUGAGGCUCAAGGAUUAAAAGAGCCCAGGGUCAGUGAUCUUAGAUUAUACAUCUUCUAAAUAUCAAAAUAGCAUUCGAUCCCAAGACAACUUGACUCCAGAGUCAAUGUUCUUAAUGACUACUCUGCACCAUGGAAACAGUUCAUUCUCCAAUGUUACUGUCCAUUUCCACUAACUGUUAAAUCUCUUAUAUACCUCCUCUUUUCAGUCUCAUGUAUCUUGACCUAGGAGACAAGCCAGCGGGUAUCAGAGGAGUAUUGAAAGUAGGAGAAAAGUUCUUCUGGAAGAACCCAAUAAUUUGAGCUUGAGAUCAAAGAAAAACUAUUGAUUUUUUUUCCUGAGUACUUGACAGAUUUGUCAAGUAAUCUUGAAUCUCNNNNNNNNNNNNNNNNNNNNCAUUAAUUAAUCCAUGGGCAAUGUACCUAGCACUGUGCUGGGGAAAUAAAUCACCCUAGAAUUAAUUCUCAAUAAGGAUACAGGGGAAAGAGCCCAAGACUAUGAGAUAGGAGAUGGACUUGGGAGCCCUGGCUCUGCCAUGAACCUGGCCUUGGCCUUAGACAGGUCUCUUCACCUUUCCUCACCUUCUUUCCACCAUUGGAAAUAGCCCCAGGGAUGGUAAAGGUCCUUACCAUUUCCUAUAUUUUUACACUUGCUUUACAGGAUUAAUUGAAGGAAAAAUAAAAGAGCAGUUAGUAUUGGACAGAAAACUGUGGUAAUAAAACACACUGAAUUGCACUACUGGUUUAGCAAUCACUUGGCGUCUUCUGAAACUGCCUCCUAAAUAUGCAAGAAGAGUGUUUAUCAUUCCAGCUCCUAUGGAACCUGACAUUUCAGAGAGAAUAGGCUUUACAAUGUCGCAUUUUCUCAAAAAUUGCUGCAUUUGAAAUCUUGCAGGAUAUUUAAAACUUGUUUUUAGAGCACCAGAGGCACUUUUCAGCUGAGUUACUCAGUGUUUUAUCCCUCCAUCCUCUUCAUCUUGCCUGAAGAGUC